This is an RNA transcript of Cucumis sativus (cucumber), 1667 nucleotides long. It is a transcript of the gene named peptidyl-tRNA hydrolase, chloroplastic, with no coding region annotated. Lineage: Eukaryota; Viridiplantae; Streptophyta; Magnoliopsida; Cucurbitales; Cucurbitaceae. The transcript has 9 exons. The record is from RefSeq and is a predicted model, not a curated record.
CUCUACUUUUCUCCCGCCAUUUGUAAAGCAUAAUCCUCUAUCCAUUCCUUUCUCCUCCCGCCAUUGUUGUCUCUUCCACUUCAAUCCUUUUCCCAUUUUGAAAUCUCUCCAUUCCAUUGAAGAAACACCACACGAAACACUAUGAUUAUCGGUGCUUCUAUAUCUUCAGUCGCCGCCCUCCGCCUUCCUUUUUCCUUCCAUUGCUUUCCAACCUCCAAAACCCUCAUUUCUUUCCCUUCUCUAUCCCUCCUUCAUUCUCCAACUUUCCAUAUCUUUUCUUCAAUCACUUCUUCCAUUACUGCCUCGAUGUCCACUUCCUCGUCUCCGACCACAGAGCAGCCGGCUUUAGAUGACAAGAAGCCCGCGCCGCCGCCGAAGCCAUGGCUCAUCGUCGGCCUCGGAAAUCCCGGGAAGAAGUACGAUCGUACGCGCCAUAAUGUAGGUUUUGAGAUGGUGGAUGCUGUAGCUGAAGCUGAAGGGAUAUCCAUCAGUAAUGUUUCCUUCAAAGCUCUGAUAGGGAAGGGUUUCAUCGGGGAUGUUCCUGUAAUGCUAGCUAAGCCACAAACUUUCAUGAAUGCAAGUGGUGAGUCAGUCGGUGCUAUUGUUUCCUACUAUAAGAUUCCAUUGAAGCAAGUACUUGUGAUUUUUGAUGACUUGGAUUUGCCUUUUGCCAAAUUGCGAAUGCUGCCGAAGGGUGGCCAUGGAGGGCAUAAUGGAAUGAGGAGUAUUAUUGAUCAUUUCAAAGGCAGUCGUGAUUUCCCUCGAUUAAGAAUUGGCAUAGGGAGACCUCCCGGGAAAAUGGAUGCAGCAAAUUUUGUUCUUCGCCCCUUCAACAAACAAGAAAGAGAAGAGUUGAACUUUACAUUGCAAGUUGGCGAAGACGCAAUACGGAUUCUUUUGCUUGAGGGGUUCAACAAAAGCGCAACAUUUGUCAAUACCAACAAGUCUCUGGAACAAAUAAGUUGAAAACGUUCAAUAUUUAAACAUUUUUAUAGACUCUAAAAGGACUCCAUUCUGUUUAUUGUAUGUAUCAAACUGCAUUAUACACUGGCUGACUUCGCCACAGUAUCAACUACCAACUUCUGUGGGGUGAAAAGCGUAUUGCAGGAACAAACAAUCAGUGUUUCUGUUGAAUAGCUUCCCUAUGGACUUAUUUGCCUCAUAUGGAGUGCUUCCAAGUAGGUAGAUCUCACAAAAUUUUAAAAAUGUUGGUGAUGGGUUUUAAAACGUACUGAUGAUUUCCUACUAACCAUUUUCUACAAUUCUGUAGUAUUUGGAGUCGAUGAUUUUAAUUUCUAGUUUUUUGGCAUAUGAUUUAAACAUAUGUUUUAUGUUAGGUGUCUUUAGUUGGUUUUUGUUAUUUUGUGUCUUUAUUUGCCCAGAGGUAGAUCUUCUAUGACAUGUCAGCACUUUUUUUUCUUUUUCUUUUUCUGAAAUUCUUUUUAGUUUAAAAGAAUUUCUAGUGUUUUGGCAACAAUUCAUGCACAAAAAUAAGGUACGUCAACUUUUGUCAAGAGGAACAAAUCUUGGUAAUAUUAAUGUUGUAUUUAGAGUGGGCUUACUCUCCUUCCGCAAGCCAACAUAACAUUGAAUUAUUGGUGGGAUGCCUCGUUAAUAGUUGUUAUUUUAUUAAAUGAAAUGCCCACACCUACACUUGAGGGUCUGUC